RNAcentral lists this transfer RNA (75 nucleotides) under Coriobacteriia bacterium. Its description in RNAcentral is "tRNA-Val". It matches the Rfam family "tRNA". Rfam says of the family: Transfer RNA (tRNA) molecules are approximately 80 nucleotides in length. Their secondary structure includes four short double-helical elements and three loops (D, anti-codon, and T loops). Further hydrogen bonds mediate the characteristic L-shaped molecular structure. tRNAs have two regions of fundamental functional importance: the anti-codon, which is responsible for specific mRNA codon recognition, and the 3' end, to which the tRNAs corresponding amino acid is attached (by aminoacyl-tRNA synthetases). tRNAs cope with the degeneracy of the genetic code in two manners: having more than one tRNA (with a specific anti-codon) for a particular amino acid; and 'wobble' base-pairing, i.e. permitting non-standard base-pairing at the 3rd anti-codon position. The record is from RNAcentral. Lineage: Bacteria; Bacillati; Actinomycetota; Coriobacteriia.
GGGCGAUUAGCUCAGGGGGAGAGCAUUACCUUGACAAGGUAGGGGUCGCAAGUUCAAAUCUUGCAUCGCCCACCA